RNAcentral lists this ribosomal RNA (897 nucleotides) under Alexandrium ostenfeldii. Its description in RNAcentral is "partial large subunit ribosomal RNA". It matches the Rfam family "Eukaryotic large subunit ribosomal RNA", at positions 51 to 914 of the family's 3401-position model. The record is from RNAcentral. Lineage: Eukaryota; Dinophyceae; Gonyaulacales; Pyrocystaceae.
CGGUGGAAAAUGAACCAAAUGGGAUUCCUUAAGUAAUUGCGAAUGAACAAGGAAUUGCUCAGCUUGAAAAUUGGGGCCUUCGGCCUUGAAUUGUAAUUUUGAAAUGUAUUGCCAAUGGAGGCGCAGGUGCAAGCCUAUUGAAAGAAAGCGUCAAUGAGGGUGAGAUUCCUUUUUGUCAUUUGCAGUCCUCCGUGCACGGUGUAUAUUUGACGAGUCACACUCCUCGGCAUUGGAAUGCAAAGUGGGUGGUAAAUUCCAUGUAAAGGAAAAUAUAUUAUUGAGACUGAUAGCAAACAAGUACCAUGAGGGAAAUAUGAAAAGGACUUUGAAAAGAGAAUUAAAAGAGUCUGCAUUUGCUGAACAGAAAGCAAACAGAAUUGAUCUACUUGGUGAGAUUGUUGCGUCCACUUGUGGGCGCAAUGGUUCUUGCCUUGGAUGUCAGCGUCUAUUUCUGCAAAUCAUUACCCUUGCACAUGAAUGGUAAUUUGCCUGUGGGCAUUGGAAUGCAUGUGUUUGCAAUGAUUUGUGUUUUGAUACAUGUGUCUGGCGUUCGUGUGUGUGCCUUCUUGCCAACAGGGGAGGGCUCUCCUCCCUGGGCACUGCAAGCCCUUGCACAGUGUUGCUGGCAAAAUGUUUCUGCUUGACCCGUCUUGAAACACGGACCAAGGAGUCUAACAGAUGUGCAAGUUCGUGGGUGGGCAAACCUUUUUGCGCAAUGAAAGUAUUGGCUGGGAUACUUGCACCAGCAGCCGACCGAUUAGCAGACAGAGGUUUGAGUUUGAGCAUAUCUAUUAGGACCCGAAAGAUGGUGAACUAUGCCUGAACAGAACGAAUUCAGAGGAAACUCUGAUGGAGGUUCGUAUCGAUACUGACGUGCAAAUCGUUCGUCAUACUUGG